AAUAGAGGGAAUACAAUGAAAUUUCAUCGUUAUAUUAUAUACUCUUUCCAUCUCCGCAAAAUGUCCAAAGUUGAUGUUGAUGUUGAUGAUGAAGAUGAUGCUUCUCCUCCUGAUCCGUACAUUGUCCUUCUCCCAAGUUGAAGCCAAAGCCAGUGGUCCCAUGGAUACCGCAAGUUGUUUCGUAUGCCUGGCACCUUCGGAUCGAUGACGAUCAAACAUGAAUGAUUGUUUUAGAAAAGAUAUCAAACUAGUCCAGAAUUAACAAUAGACCAUAUAUACAGCUACCUCUGAGUUUAAAUAAAAAAUUAGAGGACUAUACCAAUAUCAUAUAUUCUAUUUUA
Long non-coding RNA from Ricinus communis (castor bean), 341 nucleotides. RefSeq lists it as uncharacterized. Lineage: Eukaryota; Viridiplantae; Streptophyta; Magnoliopsida; Malpighiales; Euphorbiaceae. The record is from RefSeq and is a predicted model, not a curated record. The transcript has 2 exons.